UGAUGUGAAAGCCCACGGCUCAACCGUGGAGGGUCAUUGGAAACUGGGGAACUUGAGUGCAGAAGAGAAAAGCGGAAUCCACGUGUAGCGGUGAAAUGCGUAGAGAUGUGGAGGAACACCAGUGGCGAAGGCGGCUUUUUGGUCUGUAACUGACGCUGAGGCGCGAAAGCGUGGGGAGCAAACAGGAUUAGAUACCCUGGAUAGUCCACGCCGUAAACGAUGAGUGCUAAGUGUUAGAGGGUCUGCCGCCCUUUAGAUGCUGCAGCUAACGCAUUAAGCACUCCGCCUGGGGAGUACGGUCGCAAGACUGAAACUCAAAGGACUAGACGGGGGCCCGCACAAGCGGUGGAGCAUGUGGU
RNAcentral lists this ribosomal RNA (359 nucleotides) under uncultured bacterium. RNAcentral's name for it is "bacterial SSU rRNA". It matches the Rfam family "Bacterial small subunit ribosomal RNA", at positions 590 to 945 of the family's 1533-position model. The record is from RNAcentral.